This 497-nucleotide ribosomal RNA is filed under the name uncultured bacterium. RNAcentral describes it as "partial 16S ribosomal RNA". It matches the Rfam family "Bacterial small subunit ribosomal RNA", at positions 28 to 507 of the family's 1533-position model. The record is from RNAcentral.
GAUGAACGCUGGCGGCGUGCCUAAUACAUGCAAGUCGAGCGAACAGACGAGGAGCUUGCUCCUCUGACGUUAGCGGCGGACGGGUGGGUAACACGUGGAUAACCUACCUAUAAGACUGGGAUAACUUUGGGAAACCGGAGCUAAUACCGGAUAAUAUAUUGAACCGCAUGGUUCAAUAGUGAAAGACGGUUUUGCUGUCACUUAUAGAUGGAUCCGCGCCGCAUUAGCUAGUUGGUAAGGUAACGGCUUACCAAGGCAACGAUGCGUAGCCGACCUGAGAGGGUGAUCGGCCACACUGGAACUGAGACACGGUCCAGACUCCUACGGGAGGCAGCAGUAGGGAAUCUUCCGCAAUGGGCGAAAGCUUGACGGAGCAACGCCGCGUGAGUGAUGAAGGUCUUCGGAUCGUAAAACUCUGUUAUUAGGGAAGAACAAAUGUGUAAGUAACUAUGCACGUCUUGACGGUACCUAAUCAGAAAGCCACGGCUAACUACGUG